GGAUGCGAUCAUACCAGCACUAAAGCAUCGGAUCCCAUCAGAACUCCGAAGUUAAGCGUGCUUGGGCGAGAGUAGUACUAGGAUGGGUGACCUCCUGGAAAGUCCUCGUGUUGCAUUCC
This 119-nucleotide ribosomal RNA is filed under the name Aegilops tauschii subsp. strangulata. Lineage: Eukaryota; Viridiplantae; Streptophyta; Magnoliopsida; Poales; Poaceae. The record is from RNAcentral.